CGUCCGGAACGGGCGCUAAUACCGCAUACGUCCUGAGGGAGAAAGUGGGGGAUCUUCGGACCUCACGCUAUCAGAUGAGCCUAGGUCGGAUUAGCUAGUUGGUGGGGUAAAGGCCUACCAAGGCGACGAUCCGUAACUGGUCUGAGAGGAUGAUCAGUCACACUGGAACUGAGACACGGUCCAGACUCCUACGGGAGGCAGCAGUGGGGAAUAUUGGACAAUGGGCGAAAGCCUGAUCCAGCCAUGCCGCGUGUGUGAAGAAGGUCUUCGGAUUGUAAAGCACUUUAAGUUGGGAGGAAGGGCAGUAAGUUAAUACCUUGCUGUUUUGACGUUACCAACAGAAUAAGCACCGGCUAACUUCGUGCCAGCAGCCGCGGUAAUACGAAGGGUGCAAGCGUUAAUCGGAAUUACUGGGCGUAAAGCGCGCGUAGGUGGUUCAGCAAGUUGGAUGUGAAAUCCCCGGGCUCAACCUGGGAACUGCAUCCAAAACUACUGAGCUAGAGUACGGUAGAGGGUGGUGGAAUUUCCUGUGUAGCGGUGAAAUGCGUAGAUAUAGGAAGGAACACCAGUG
This 571-nucleotide ribosomal RNA is filed under the name Pseudomonas aeruginosa. RNAcentral's name for it is "bacterial SSU rRNA". It matches the Rfam family "Bacterial small subunit ribosomal RNA", at positions 147 to 714 of the family's 1533-position model. The record is from RNAcentral. Lineage: Bacteria; Pseudomonadati; Pseudomonadota; Gammaproteobacteria; Pseudomonadales; Pseudomonadaceae.